Molecule: long non-coding RNA, 734 nt
Filed under: Marmota monax (woodchuck)
Lineage: Eukaryota; Metazoa; Chordata; Mammalia; Rodentia; Sciuridae
Source: RNAcentral
CUUGGCUGCUGUGUUCCUCAUCAGGAACCCAACAGGGAUGAGGCGUGAGAGGCACACUCCAGAGCCCAGGGCAGCUGCACUCAGUGGUUUCUUUGCGCUGCCAUUGCAUUUGGAACCUGCUUCCCCCUCUGUUAACUGUCAACUCCUGGCCUCACCCUCGGACUGAGAAUCCACAUGAACAGCACACCUGGUAAGCACCGGACACAUGCUGCAGUUGGUGUCCACAUCCAGCCCCCUGGUUAGUGAAUUUCCUAGCUCUUCUUGUGGACUAUUAAAGGGCAACCCCACCCAGCCCUGGAGACCCUUUCCCACCACUCUCCCAACUUCCUCCCAAUCUAUAGGUCAGAUGCCACCUUCCUUUGCCUCGUCCUGUCUCCACAACUUACCCUUCUUUGAUGGAGUCUGCUCUCCUCUUCGGGCCUUCACUCUCUACAUGGAAUCAGUCUUACAGAAGGGGGGAGAUGCUAAGAGCCACAGCCAAAUAAUAUGAUGCAUGGCAUUUUUGGUUGAAAGGUGACGCCAGCAAGCCAUUGAGAUGAUAUGAUUAUGUUAAGAUCUGCAUUUAUAUGGAUAUUGGACUCCUGCUGUUCACCUCGGCCUGCUACAGGACUCCUGGAGAGUUCCCAUUGGUUGGGGAAGUGCGGUAGGAGGGAAUUCCGGGGGAGGGACUUCCUGUUGGGGUCCGGGAGAACGCCGCGUGGGUCGGUCAGCAAUCUUCCCGGGAGCAUAUGGGG